Molecule: ribosomal RNA, 254 nt
Filed under: uncultured bacterium
Lineage: Bacteria
Description: partial 16S ribosomal RNA
Rfam family: Bacterial small subunit ribosomal RNA
Source: RNAcentral
UACGUAGGGUGCGAGCGUUGUCCGGAAUUAUUGGGCGUAAAGAGCUCGUAGGCGGUCUGUCGCGUCGAUCGUGAAAACUUGGGGCUUAACCCUGAGCUUGCGGUCAAUACGGGCAUGACUGGAGUUCGGCAGGGGAGACUGGAAUUCCUGGUGUAGCGGUGAAAUGCGCAGAUAUCAGGAGGAACACCGGUGGCGAAGGCGGGUCUCUGGGCCGAUAUCGACGCUGAGGAGCGAAAGCGUGGGGAGCGAACAGG